RNAcentral lists this ribosomal RNA (549 nucleotides) under Triticum aestivum (bread wheat). RNAcentral's name for it is "partial small subunit ribosomal RNA". Lineage: Eukaryota; Viridiplantae; Streptophyta; Magnoliopsida; Poales; Poaceae. The record is from RNAcentral.
AUGAAAUUUGCCUUCAAGCUUCUCCAAAAACAAGACUUGCCUUGGGUAAACUGGUUCUUCCAACACUACUCUCUCGACUUCAAAAAUAAACCUCACAACCCCUCCUACCUUUGGAAAAUCGUAAACAAACAACUUAGCCCGUACGCAGUAUAUCUUUUGUCCUCACCAACAAUGGUACUUCCACCUUCUUCUGGCUGGAUGCUUGGCUUCUUCCGACACCGCUUGCAGAUACCUACCCACACCUCUUCUCCCACUCCACCUCACCCUCGGUCCUGGUAUCACAUGUCAUGCAUAAUGGUUUACUCGCUACUCUGCGGAACGCCUAACAAUUGUUGCUUCUGUAGAGCUUGCGUCUAUUUUGUCUCUGUUGCAGGAUGUUGCCACCAACGACACGCCCGACGACAGGUUCCUCAACCACGGCUCCUCCUCCUCCUCGAGGUGCGCCUACUCGCUGCUCUCCUCCGACCACGAGAUCGAUCUCAACGCAGGGUACAUUUGGAGCUCCAAGGCACCUAUCAAGGUCAAGAUCUUCGGUUGGCUUCUCUGUAG